AGAAAAAGGCAAACCCCUCGUAAGAAGGGGACGCAAAGCUAUGGAUCUUAUUUUUUUUUAAGAUCGCCAAGCUACCAU
Molecule: non-coding RNA, 78 nt
Filed under: marine eukaryotic metagenome
Description: Cyclic di-GMP-I riboswitch
Rfam family: c-di-GMP-I-GGC riboswitch aptamer
Source: RNAcentral